UACAGAGACUGCAAGCGUUAUUCGGAUUCACUGGGCGUAAAGGGUGCGCAGGCGGCCAAGUGUGUGAGGCGUGAAAGCCUGGAGCUUAACUCCAGAAUUGCACCUCAAACUACUUGGCUAGAGCAUUGGAGAGGGUAGCAGAAUUCAUGGUGUAGCAGUGAAAUGCGUAGAUAUCAUGAGGAAUACCAGAGGCGAAGGCGGCUUCCUGGACCGACACUGACGCUGAGGCGCGAAAGCUAGGGGAGCAAACGGG
RNAcentral lists this ribosomal RNA (253 nucleotides) under uncultured bacterium. RNAcentral describes it as "partial 16S ribosomal RNA". It matches the Rfam family "Bacterial small subunit ribosomal RNA", at positions 524 to 776 of the family's 1533-position model. The record is from RNAcentral.